CAUACUCAGAACAGCUGCUUCCUUUGGGUUUCUGGUGGCAGGGAUAUUAUAAAGGUACUAUGUAAAAAGGAUAUAGAAUGACCAGUGAGGAUUAAAAAGGGCAAAGAGAGGAAAACAAUCCUCUGGAGGAAUUCUUGGGUGAGUAGGCAAAUGGAAACAAUUAAAUGUGGCAGGAGAGAAUGAAGAAGAUAAAAUUUGGAUUGAAGGUGGAAAAAAUAAAAGCAGUGGAAGGGAAGAGAUCACUGAGAAUCCAAACAGGGCCAGGGAUAACUGGUACAUGCUAACCUUCAAUUCAAAGAAAGCUAAGAUGAUCACACAUAAAAAUUAAAGCCAAAUUUACACUCUUCUGCUCUGCCAGAAGUCUUCCUCACCAGCUGCAUCCCUCUCUUUCUGUAUACACAAUAGUACCUCUGAACAGUAGUGAACAUGAAUUGUCUUCGUGGCACAGCUAAGCCUGAAUGAUGUUAACAUUUCACAGAGACACAACUACAAACAUUCUCCAAAACUAUCUGCAACAGCUCAUUACCCAAAACUACCUGCAAGGACUCAUAAAGCAAAAUAAGUCAGACUCACCAACUUAAAUGGAUUAAUAUUGUUUCAUUUCCAAUGUCCCUGUCGAUGCUCUGUGAGAUUCUAUGUUUCUUGGAUUCUUUAACAUAAGUUAGCACAUAUGACUUCUGCUGGAAUGAAAAUGACAUGCCUGGAAUUUCUUUUGUUUGCCUCUUCCAGGUAAACCAACAUGCAGCUAAAGUAGUUAAGAGGGAGUUAAAUCACUGUAAGAGAGAGUGGAGAUAUGAAGUCCUUGUUGAGGUGGUGAAAUCCUGUAUCAGGAUGUGACUGAUGAAGUGUCUGCUGAUACCAAACAGGCCUUGCGAUCUCAACUUACGACUCUGGGUUUGGGGAAAAGAAUGAAAUGCGUUGGGAAGCCAAUGUAAGUCUGAGGCUGUUCUUGGUAUUUACAGAAAGACUACAGAAAAAGACAUCAGAAUAAUGGCAAGGAUUUAAACAGCUCUCUGAUGGCACUGUGAGGAAAGGAUAGCAGAGGCAGGAAAACUUCAAUCCUCAAUAUCCCAGAAGAAGAACAAAGAGGGCUUCGACUAUAGCAUUUGGCAGCUACGGAAAAGUAAAGGUUUAGUGGACCAAUUCUUCACGUUCUUACAUAGCACCUUAAUGUUACAUGAAAAGGAGCAAAAGAAACAAGGGGUGUUGACUAUCAAAUAAAGCUGAAGAGCCAAGAAACAUUUAUAACUGCAGUAGUUUUACUUGAAGAUACAUAGUUUUCUAUAAGAUGUUGCUUUGUGAAAUAUUUUCAGGU
This is a long non-coding RNA of Acinonyx jubatus (cheetah), 1315 nucleotides long. RefSeq lists it as uncharacterized. The transcript is spliced from 9 exons. The record is from RefSeq and is a predicted model, not a curated record. NCBI's taxonomy places the organism in Eukaryota, Metazoa, Chordata, Mammalia, Carnivora, Felidae.